UGGGGAAUAUUGCACAAUGGGCGCAAGCCUGAUGCAGCCAUGCCGCGUGUGUGAAGAAGGCCUUCGGGUUGUAAAGCACUUUCAGCGAGGAGGAAGGUGGUGAGCUUAAUACGCUCAUCAAUUGACGUUACUCGCAGAAGAAGCACCGGCUAACUCCGUGCCAGCAGCCGCGGUAAUACGGAGGGUGCAAGCGUUAAUCGGAAUUACUGGGCGUAAAGCGCACGCAGGCGGUUUGUUAAGUCAGAUGUGAAAUCCCCGGGCUCAACCUGGGAACUGCAUUUGAAACUGGCAAGCUAGAGUCUCGUAGAGGGGGGUAGAAUUCCAGGUGUAGCGGUGAAAUGCGUAGAGAUCUGGAGGAAUACCGGUGGCGAAGGCGGCCCCCUGGACGAAGACUGACGCUCAGGUGCGAAAGCGUGGGGCAGCAAACAGGAUUAGAUACCCUGGUAGUCCACGCUGUAAACGAUGUCGAUUUUGGAGGUUGUGCCCUUGAGGCGUGGCUUCCGGAGCUAACGCGUUAAAUCGACCGCCUGGGGAGUACGGCCGCAAGGUUAAAACUCAAAGGAAUUGACNGGGUCAUAGCUGUUUCCUG
This 589-nucleotide ribosomal RNA is filed under the name uncultured bacterium. RNAcentral's name for it is "partial 16S ribosomal RNA". It matches the Rfam family "Bacterial small subunit ribosomal RNA", at positions 355 to 1376 of the family's 1533-position model. The record is from RNAcentral.